Molecule: ribosomal RNA, 368 nt
Filed under: uncultured organism
Description: bacterial SSU rRNA
Rfam family: Bacterial small subunit ribosomal RNA
Source: RNAcentral
CGGAGGGUGCAAGCGUUAUCCGGAUUCACUGGGUUUAAAGGGAGCGUAGGAGGGCAGGUAAGUCAGUGGUGAAAUCCCCGUGCUUAACAUGGGAACUGCCGUUGAUACUAUCUGUCUUGAAUGCCGUGGAGAUGAGCGGAAUAUGUCAUGUAGCGGUGAAAUGCUUAGAUAUGACAUAGAACACCGAUUGCGAAGGCAGCUCGUUACACGAACAUUGACUCUGAGGCUCGAAAGCGUGGGGAUCAAACAGGAUUAGAUACCCUGGUAGUCCACGCCCUAAACGAUGGAUACUCGACAUACGCGAUACACUGUGUGUGUCUGAGCGAAAGCAUUAAGUAUCCCACCUGGGAAGUACGACCGCAAGGUUG